Molecule: transfer RNA, 66 nt
Filed under: Marmota monax (woodchuck)
Lineage: Eukaryota; Metazoa; Chordata; Mammalia; Rodentia; Sciuridae
Description: tRNA.Ala
Source: RNAcentral
GAUGCAGCUCAGUGGUAGAGUGCUUGCCUAGCAUGCCUGAGGCCCUGGGUUCAAUCCACAACAACA